This 468-nucleotide ribosomal RNA is filed under the name uncultured bacterium. Its description in RNAcentral is "partial 16S ribosomal RNA". It matches the Rfam family "Bacterial small subunit ribosomal RNA", at positions 28 to 507 of the family's 1533-position model. The record is from RNAcentral.
GACGAACGCUGGCGGCGUGCUUAACACAUGCAAGUCGAACGGAAAGGCCCUGCUUUUGUGGGGUGCUCGAGUGGCGAACGGGUGAGUAACACGUGAGUAACCUGCCCUUGACUUUGGGAUAACUUCAGGAAACUGGGGCUAAUACCGGAUAGGAGCUCCUGCUGCAUGGGGGGGGUUGGAAAGUUUCGGCGGUUGGGGAUGGACUCGCGGCUUAUCAGCUUGUUGGUGGGGUAGUGGCUUACCAAGGCUUUGGCGGGUAGCCGGCCUGAGAGGGGGGCCGGCGACCUUGGGACUGAGAUACGGCCCAGACUCCAACGGGAGGCAGCAGUGGGGAAUAUUGCACAGUGGGCGGAAGCCUGAUGCAGCAACGCCGCGUUCGGGAUGACGUCCUUCGGGUUGUGAACCGCUUUCGCCUGUGACGAAGCGUGAGUGACGGUAAUGGAUAAAGAAGCACCGGCUAACUACGUG